This 422-nucleotide ribosomal RNA is filed under the name uncultured Aeromonas sp. Its description in RNAcentral is "bacterial SSU rRNA". It matches the Rfam family "Bacterial small subunit ribosomal RNA", at positions 335 to 749 of the family's 1533-position model. Lineage: Bacteria; Pseudomonadati; Pseudomonadota; Gammaproteobacteria; Aeromonadales; Aeromonadaceae. The record is from RNAcentral.
ACUCCUACGGGAGGCAGCAGUGGGGAAUAUUGCACAAUGGGGGAAACCCUGAUGCAGCCAUGCCGCGUGUGUGAAGAAGGCCUUCGGGUUGUAAAGCACUUUCAGCGAGGAGGAAAGGUUGGCGCCUAAUACGUGUCAACUGUGACGUUACUCGCAGAAGAAGCACCGGCUAACUCCGUGCCAGCAGCCGCGGUAAUACGGAGGGUGCAAGCGUUAAUCGGAAUUACUGGGCGUAAAGCGCACGCAGGCGGUUGGAUAAGUUAGAUGUGAAAGCCCCGGGCUCAACCUGGGAAUUGCAUUUAAAACUGUCCAGCUAGAGUCUUGUAGAGGGGGGUAGAAUUCCAGGUGUAGCGGUGAAAUGCGUAGAGAUCUGGAGGAAUACCGGUGGCGAAGGCGGCCCCCUGGACAAAGACUGACGCUCA